UGGGGAAUCUUAGACAAUGGGCGCAAGCCUGAUCUAGCCAUGCCGCGUGAGCGAUGAAGGCCUUAGGGUUGUAAAGCUCUUUCGCUGGGGAAGAUAAUGACUGUACCCAGUAAAGAAGCCCCGGCUAACUCCGUGCCAGCAGCCGCGGUAAUACGGAGGGGGCUAGCGUUAUUCGGAAUUACUGGGCGUAAAGCGCACGUAGGCGGAUCAGAAAGUCAGAGGUGAAAUCCCAGGGCUCAACCCUGGAACUGCCUUUGAAACUCCUGAUCUUGAGUUCGAGAGAGGUGAGUGGAAUUCCGAGUGUAGAGGUGAAAUUCGUAGAUAUUCGGAGGAACACCAGUGGCGAAGGCGGCUCACUGGCUCGAUACUGACGCUGAGGUGCGAAAGCGUGGGGAGCAAACA
RNAcentral lists this ribosomal RNA (402 nucleotides) under uncultured Paracoccaceae bacterium. RNAcentral describes it as "bacterial SSU rRNA". It matches the Rfam family "Bacterial small subunit ribosomal RNA", at positions 355 to 774 of the family's 1533-position model. The record is from RNAcentral. Lineage: Bacteria; Pseudomonadati; Pseudomonadota; Alphaproteobacteria; Rhodobacterales; Paracoccaceae.